GCCUGGGUGGCUUGGUCGGUUAAGCGUCUGACUUCGGCUCAGGUCAUGAUCUCAGGUCCGUGAGUUCGAGCCCCGCAUCAGGCU
Molecule: transfer RNA, 84 nt
Filed under: Felis catus (domestic cat)
Lineage: Eukaryota; Metazoa; Chordata; Mammalia; Carnivora; Felidae
Rfam family: tRNA
About the family: Transfer RNA (tRNA) molecules are approximately 80 nucleotides in length. Their secondary structure includes four short double-helical elements and three loops (D, anti-codon, and T loops).
Source: Rfam by way of RNAcentral